CUUGCAACUAAAGAUGGCGACCGGCGCACGGGUGAGUAACACGUAUCCAACCUGCCGAUAACUCGGGGAUAGCCUUUCGAAAGAAAGAUUAAUAUCCGAUAGUAUAUUAAAACCGCAUGGUUUUACUAUUAAAGAAUUCGGUUAUCGAUGGGGAUGCGUUCCAUUAGUUUGUUGGCGGGGUAACGGCCCACCAAGACUACGAUGGAUAGGGGUUCUGAGAGGAAGGUCCCCCACAUUGGAACUGAGACACGGUCCAA
Molecule: ribosomal RNA, 257 nt
Filed under: uncultured bacterium
Lineage: Bacteria
Description: partial 16S ribosomal RNA
Rfam family: Bacterial small subunit ribosomal RNA
Source: RNAcentral